Long non-coding RNA from Cavia porcellus (domestic guinea pig), 5410 nucleotides. RefSeq lists it as uncharacterized. The transcript is spliced from 2 exons. Lineage: Eukaryota; Metazoa; Chordata; Mammalia; Rodentia; Caviidae. The record is from RefSeq and is a predicted model, not a curated record.
AAAUUACCUGAUUCCGCUGGCCCACUCUGAGACGAACGCACGACCACUGACGCAAGGCGAGAGGCGGGACAUCUGAGAUCCGGCCAAUUGCCUCUCACUGCUGCCACUUAGGCCACGCCCCUUCCCGCGCCUGCGCGAUAAUUGGUGGCUGGUACGGUUCUGGGGCUGGGACGCCCGGUGUUAGCUAAAGUUUGUAAGGUCAGUGCCCUCUGACCCCGCCUUCGGACUUCCUCUUUAGACAGCGGAGUCUUGCCCUUUGCCCUUUGCCCUUUGCCAGCGGGAAGCCGUAAGCCACCACGGGACUCGAACAUCCGAAGAACAGAGUACUGUGUGUACGCGCUUAAUGUAUUCGGUAAUGCUACCAGGAAAAAAAUGGAAAGAUGUAGCUUAUGUGUCCUAUAGGACAUAGCUGCUUGAAACUACUGUCAUGUGGCCAUGGUGGUGCACACCUAGUCCCAGCACUUGGGAGACUGAGGUAGGAAGAUCAUUUCGAGUUCAAGACCAGCCUGAGCUACAAAAGUGAGUUCAAGGCCAACCUAAACUACAUAGCAACUUUGUCUCCAAAAACAAAGCCUAACAAAACUUCUAUCAUGUACUUUAUACCAUGGGUUGUUCUCACAGCUGAGUGUGACUGUUGUACACAACUAAAAGACUAAAUCACAAGUUCAGGGCCUCAUACCACAAGGCAACAGCAAACUAAACUGAAAACAUUCCCCGCUCAAGAGACAUGGACCCUCAAGCCCUCAACUAUUGGAAAACUUUCCUUUAGUUUGGAAGAAUAUGUUUAUAGGAAAAUAAUAAUAUUAUAGAGAUCUCAAAGAAAGUUAUAUUAUCAUGGGAUCAGAAUAUCUCUGCCAAGUAUGGUGGCACACAACUUUAAUCCCAGCUGUUUGGGAGACUGAGACAGGGAUCGCAAGUUCGAGGGCAGCCUAAGCAAAACAGUAGAAUCCCAUCUCAUAUAAAUCAAAGCAAGAGUUUUUUCUAGGCACCCAAGUACACUAGUGUUUUAUUUAUAGUAGGGAAACUAUGAAUACUGAUGCUUAAAUUAUUCUGCAAUACCAGCUCAUCUAAAAUCCUUUCAUUUAGUAUGAUCUUACAGUAUACAACUUUUAAAAAAAUAAAUAACAUGGGAUAUAUCUCCAUCUUUUUAUUUAUCCAGUUCUAGCUGAGCACACACUCCAUGGCCUUGCAUUGUUGGAUUGUCUCUUCUUAUCUCGUCCAACAGCACUUCUAGUUUGUAAGCAGAGAGUUCGUGAGCAGAGAAGGAAGGGGGAAAAAAACCCAAAAUAACGUGUGAUAAUAGAAAAGUAAAACCAAAUCAUUUAGCACAGAGUAAAGCAUAAUGAUCAAUUGAAUUGCCAAUGGAAAACAGAACCAAUUGAGAUGACAGAGAAUAAAUGGACCAUUUUAAAAUGGGUUGUUUAUUGAAGCUAAUUUAAAUUCUUAAGAUUUUCAAUCAGAUUGCAGAAAGUACCCAUUACAUAAUAAUCUCUAUCCUUGUGAAAACUGCCCUGGGAGAACAAAUACCAAUUCAUUAUUUCUUUAUUCAGAAGACUCAAAUAGGAUCACUUGUAAAGUAUAUUGUUGAGGGAGUUUAUAAGAUGAAAAUGAAUUCUUAGCUACACAAGAGAAGAUGAGUACAUUAGGGAUCUACAGAGAAACAAACUAAUAAUACUUUAAUAUUAAUUUGUUAAUUAAUAAUGAAUUGACUCAUGUGAUUAUAGAAGCUAGUAAGUCCAGAAUCUGCAGAGUCAGCGUCCUAGUUGGAGUCUGGAGCCCAGAAGCUGGUAUAGACCCGGAAAAAGCUAAUGUUCCUGUUUAUUCUCCAGAUCAAAAGCAGAUAGCAGAAUGCUCUCAUUUGAAGACAGGGAGAUAACAUGGAGCAUCAUGAGCUUUUGUUCUGCUCAGGCCGUCAGUGGACUGGAUGAGACCCACCAACACUAUGGAAGACAGUCUUCUUUAAUCUGCUCUUUUAAACUUGUCAUGGUUUAGAUCUAAAGUGUUCCCCAAAGUCUCAUGUGUUCAGGUUUGAGGCUUUUGGAAGGUGACUGGAUCAUAGGGUGCUAUACUUAAUCAAGUGGCUGAAUCCUUUGAUGAGUUCUGUUAGGAAGUUAGGAAGUCCCAGUUGGAGAAGGUAGGGCACUGGCAGGCCUUUAGGGGGUUUAUCUCUUGACCAGGCUUUUCUGUUCUCUGUGCUCUUGGCUACCGUGGGUUGAGCAGCUUUCCUCUGCCAGGCCCUUCUGUCAUGCAGCCAAUUGCACAUGAACUGAACUCUCUGAAACUGAGUCAAAAUGAAUUUUUCUUUCUUCCCUUAAAUUGUGGAUGUUAUGGAUUUUGUCCCUGCGAUGGUAAAGCCAAUACAAAUAUUGAUUGCAUCCAAGAUUACACAGAGCCCUGCAAUAAUGUUUGACCAAAUAUGUAGAUACCCUGUGUGCCCCAGUCAACUUGACACAUAAAAAUAACCAUCAUAAUGGGGAAUUAAAGGCCUAUCUGUACCUUGAUAAAGAAGGGUUUGGAUGCCUAUAGAGUAAGAAGGCCUCCGAGUACACUGUAUGGUCCAUGAUCAAUUGACUGACAGGUUAGAAGGAACAUCUGCUGUCUUACCCUUGUUAAGACAUACCCCACACACACACACACACACACACACACACACACACACACACACACACAAAGAACCAAAACAUUAAAACUUUGCAUUGAGAUAAAUGCUUGCAACUGUUUUCUAAUGACAGACAUUAGAUGGAACAGAUAACUUUUUAUGUAAUUUGGAUGAAAACCUUAACUAACAAACACACUAAAGUUAAUCUGAUCUGAGGCCUGGAAUAUCCUACUUUAUGCUGGUGUGGGUAAAUUUGGUAUUCUGAUAGUUUAUAUUUUAAGCAAAAUAAAGGAGCUACACUGUCAAGAUACUUUUUUCCUAAAUUGGGCAUGGUGGCUCGUGCCUGUAAUCCCAGCACUUGGGAGGCUGAGGCAGGAGGAUCAUAGCACGUUCAAGACCAGCCUAGGCUACAAAGUGAACUCAAGGCCAGCCUGAACUGCAUAGACAGACCCUGUCUCAAAAAGACCAAAAAAAGAUACUUUCUUUUCCUUUUCUCUCUUUUUUUUUUUUUUUUUUUUUUGAGACAAUGUCUCAUUGUGCCAUUCAGGCUAACCUUGAACUCAUUUUGUAGCCCAGGCUGGCCUUGAAUUCACAGUGAUCCUCCUGCCUCAGCCUCCCAAGUGAUGGGUUCACAAGUGUGUACCACUAAACCUGGCCUAACAAUCUUAUUUUACACAGAAGGGAAUUAGGUUUUUUGCCCGAGCUGCCAUGAUAAAGUACCAUAGAGGGAAAAUUUAAACAACAGAAGCAUAUUGUCUCACAGUUCCUAUGACGGGGAAUUUAAAAUCAAAAUGUUGGUAGAGUUAGUUUCAGCCUGACACCCCUCUCCACUCCUCCAGCCAGAGGGAGACCCUGCUGCCUUCCAAAGAAUGGUCAGAAAAAGCCCUCCAGGAGGGCAAAGAUCAGAGAGGCAGCCCUUUGUGGGGCUAGGCUGCAGAGCUCCAGAACAGGCGUGGAGAACAGUAGCAUCUGGCAGUGGCAGUAAUCAGGGUGGGUAACUGGUAUUGCCUGGCACCCAGAAACAGCAAAGACCGGUGUCAUUAACAGGCAGUGACCAUUGCCUUUCACAGCCAACAGUGAAGCAAGACAACUGCUAGUGGUUGGGGGAGGGGAGGCGGAGGAGGCUCAGGGUUACCCAGCCACGGGCUCUAGAACCCUAGAUAACUGUUGAAGGUGAAGUCCUGGCUCAUGAGGUGUUGAGGGACUCUAGCUUAGAGUCCCAGAGGCAUAACACCGUGGGCUGAGAUCCCAUGGCAGAGCUGUGUGUUGCUGAUUGGCAAUUUUUAUCUAAAUCAAAGAGAGCCUUCAUCUGAUUGGGAACAUGCGGAGUUAGGGCUUAAGCGUGUGUACCUGGCAACAACUUAACCUUAAGAGAGAGCUUCAGUUUUCCCAGUCUACCCUUCCUAACUUUGAUCUUCACCUGUGAGUGGUAGUAGAUAACAUAAACUGCGAUUCAGCCUAGGUGGUUCUGCCUCCUGGCUGACCUUUUUAUGUAUGGCCUUUGUAUUUCAACUUCAUUGCAUUUGAAGUAUGCUAAGCAGCUCCUACAUUUUAAAAUUUCUCUCAGAAGAAUCAUGUCCUUUUUAUUAUAUUAUUAUUACUGAAAUUAGUGAUUUCUGAGUAAGUUAAAGUAUAUUAAAUCCAGUUUGGAUGAGAGCGAGAGAAAGAGAAGGGAUUGAACCCAGGACCUGUACCCGUGAGUUACACUGCCAACCCUUUUUAUUUUGGAUAGUUUUGCUAAGUUUCCCAAACUGGCCUUGAACUUGUAAUUCUGCUGCCUCAGCCUCCUGAGUAGCUAGGAUUGAAGGUAUGUGCCAUCAUGCCCAGUUUAAAUUGUUUUGACAUUAGGCAUCAUUCUUCUCAGGAAGGGCUGUUCUCUCUAGUAAUAUUUGUGAACAUACAGGAUAUAUUCCAAGCAAGUUUCUCAGAAAACGUUUUGGAUAGUGUAGAUAUAAUACAGGAAACAUAGUUUUAUUCAUUGGAUGUUAGGGAAAGUGGAGGAUCACAAAAUGAUAAAGUGAAAAUAUAAUGAAUAAUGAAUGAAAAUAAUAGUGUAUGUGUUAGAAACCAAUUUUGAAAAAAUCUUAGAAUAUAGGAAAUGUGUGUGCCUGAGUGUCAGAGAACUUGCCUAACAUGUGCAUGGCCCUGGGUUCAAUCCUCAGUGCGUGUGUAUGAAUCUGGCUAAAAGGAAAAUGGCCCAACUUGUGUUCAGAAAGGAGAAAGAAUAGGGCUGGGGAUGUUGCUCAGUGGUGCAGCACCUGUUUGUCAAGUACAAGGUGCAGAGUUCAAUUGCUGGUUUCAAACUAAAAAAAGAGAAAGACCCCAGGGUAUAUGGUUCCUCGAUACCAGAGAAAUUUGGUCAAGGAAGCCCUCCUGCCUUUUCCCAAACCUCUGAGGAAUAGGUUUCUGGCAGACUUCAGAGAACUCUGUUCUACCUUGGGAAGAUAUUGUAUCAGUUAUCACAGGGUCCUUUGGUGAGUCAAGUAUCAGGUGUCAUGGAACACAAGAUACCAACUGUUGGGCGCAGGCGCUCAACAUACCAUACCCCGCCCGGGACUAAGGACCACGUUUAGCUUCCGCAAUGCGCUACGUCCCUCUCCAAAUUAGCCACCCCGUGCGCACCUCGUGCUCACUCCGUAUUCGCCCCGUGCUGGCUCUGUGGCAACCCUUGAUUGACCACAGCUGGGUAUAUUGGCCAGAGCCCGCGUUCCAUCCCAACCCUGCCUCCUUGUGGCAGCCUGUGAUUGGUCACGGCUGAAUGUAUAAGCCAGAGCCCGCAACAAUAAAGCGGCAGUUACCUGUUACCCACAA